AGCGAACAGGAUUAGGAGCUUGCUCUUUUGACGUUAGCGGCGGACGGGUGAGUAACACGUGGGCAACCUACCCUAUAGAUUGGGAUAACUCCGGGAAACCGGGGCUAAUACCGAAUAAUCUAUGUCACCUCAUGGUGAGAUAUUGAAAGACGGCUUCGGCUGUCACUAAAGGAUGGACCCGCGUCGCAUUAGCUAGUUGGUGAGGUAAUGGCUCACCAAGGCGACGAUGCGUAGCCGACCUGAGAGGGUGAUCGGCCACACUGGGACUGAGACACGGCCCAGACUCCUACGGGAGGCAGCAGUAGGGAAUCUUCCACAAUGGGCGAAAGCCUGACGGAGCAACGCCGCGUGAGUGAAGAAGGCUUUCGGAUCGUAAAACUCUGUUGUUAGGGAAGAACAAGUGCUGUAGUAACUGGCUGUACCCUUACCGGACCUUAAUCGAAAACCAAGGGUAAAUAAGUGGCAGCAACCCCGGGUAUACGUUAGUUGCAUUGUUUACCGGAAAUUAUGGGCCUAAAACGUGGGGAGGGUGGCCUUUUAUUCUUAUGAGUAACCCCAUGCGCCAGCUGUGCAGGAUGUUGGUGCCUGGUGGAAUUGCUUCCGAGAAGGGGAUGGAAUUCCAA
Molecule: ribosomal RNA, 623 nt
Filed under: Lysinibacillus sp.
Lineage: Bacteria; Bacillati; Bacillota; Bacilli; Caryophanales; Bacillaceae
Description: bacterial SSU rRNA
Rfam family: Bacterial small subunit ribosomal RNA
Source: RNAcentral